Zophobas morio is the source of this 407-nucleotide long non-coding RNA. RefSeq lists it as uncharacterized. The record is from RefSeq and is a predicted model, not a curated record. Lineage: Eukaryota; Metazoa; Arthropoda; Insecta; Coleoptera; Tenebrionidae. The transcript has 3 exons.
CAUAAUCUCUCAACUUUGCAGGCUUCUACCUCUCCGAAUAGUUCAAGUGUUAAUGUAGCUAGAACGUAGGAGUUAACUGUGUGUUAUCGAAAGUGCAAAUAAGAACAAGUUCAGAGGAAAGGGAAAAACAUGAGAAGCAAAAAUUCUUUUUUAACAAUCCAGUUGGGCUAUAUUUUUAGACUUUUCAUAGUAUCUUUCGUUGAAGUUGGAUGCUCUUACUGCUGGGCCUUUCUCCGUGUAGCUCCUUAAAUGUAACCACAGGUUUUUUAAAACCAACUGAAUAAGUUUAUAAAAAAUAUAGGGAGGGUAAAGGAUAUGCACUAGGAAGAGUCUAUAAAAAGAAUAUCCACUUUUAGAAAUAGGAGCGCGUAUGACUGAGCAGAUUAAUAUUUUAUUAUGUAUAUGUA